RNAcentral lists this ribosomal RNA (425 nucleotides) under uncultured bacterium. RNAcentral describes it as "partial 16S ribosomal RNA". It matches the Rfam family "Bacterial small subunit ribosomal RNA", at positions 354 to 796 of the family's 1533-position model. The record is from RNAcentral.
GAGGGGAAUAUUGGGCAAUGGGCGAAAGCCUGACCCAGCAACGCCGCGUGAAGGAAGAAGGUUUUCGGAUCGUAAGCUUCUAUCCUUGGUGAAGAUAAUGACGGUAGCCAAGAAGGAAGCCCCGGCUAACUACGUGCCAGCAGCCGCGGUAAUACGUAGGGGGCAAGCGUUGUCCGGAAUGAUUGGGCGUAAAGGGCGCGUAGGCGGCCCGGUAAGUCCGAAGGGAAAGUCCUGCUUUUAAGGUGGGAAUUGCUUUGGAUACUGUCGGGCUUGAGUGCAGGAGAGGUAAGCGGAAUGCGCGGGGUAGCGGUGAAAUGCGUAGAGAUCGGGAGGAACACCAGUGGCGAAGGCGGCUUACUGGACUGUAACUGACGCUGAGGCGCGAAAGUGUGGGGAGCAAACAGGAUUAGAUACCCGAGUAGUCC